AUUGGACGCUGGCGGCGUGCCUUACACAUGCAAGUCGAACGGCAGCACGGGUGCUUGCACCUGGUGGCGAGUGGCGAACGGGUGAGUAAUACAUCGGAACGUACCUUAUCGUGGGGGAUAACGCAGCGAAAGCUGUGCUAAUACCGCAUACGCCCUGAGGGGGAAAGCGGGGGAUCGAAAGACCUCGCGCGAUUAGAGCGGCCGAUGCCUGAUUAGCUUGUUGGUGGGGUAAAAGCCCACCAAGGCGACGAUCAGUAGCUGGUCUGAGAGGACGAUCAGCAACACUGGGACUGAGACACGGCCCUGACUCCUACGGGAGGCAGCAGUGGGGAAUUUUGGACAAUGGGGGCAACCCUGAUCCAGCAAUGCCGCGUGAGUGAAGAAGGCCUUCGGGUUGUAAAGCUCUUUUGUCAGGGAAGAAACACCGGCUCUAACACAGUCCGGGAAUGACGGUACCUGAAGAAUAAGCACCGGCUAACUACGUGCCAGCCGCCGCCGUAA
RNAcentral lists this ribosomal RNA (501 nucleotides) under uncultured bacterium. Its description in RNAcentral is "partial 16S ribosomal RNA". It matches the Rfam family "Bacterial small subunit ribosomal RNA", at positions 29 to 523 of the family's 1533-position model. The record is from RNAcentral.